RNAcentral lists this ribosomal RNA (326 nucleotides) under uncultured eukaryote. Its description in RNAcentral is "partial 18S ribosomal RNA". It matches the Rfam family "Eukaryotic small subunit ribosomal RNA", at positions 1470 to 1796 of the family's 1831-position model. The record is from RNAcentral.
CCCUUAGAUGUUCUGAACCGCACGCGUGUUACACUGAUGCAUUCAACGAGCUUUACCUUGGCCGAGAGGCCUGGGAAAUCUUUUUAGCAUGCAUCGUGAUAGGGAUUGAUUAUUGCAAUUAUUAAUCAUGAACGAGGAAUUCCUAGUAAACGCAUUUCAUCAAAAUGCAUUGAUUACGUCCCUGCCCUUUGUACACACCGCCCGUCGCACCUACCGAUUGGAUGGUCCGGUGAAGCCUCGGGAUUGUGGUUCUUGCCGCUUUAUUGUGGCGUGACCGCGAGAACUUGUCUAAACCUUAUCAUCUAGAGGAAGGUGAAGUCGUAACA